This 1530-nucleotide ribosomal RNA is filed under the name Salmonella enterica subsp. enterica. RNAcentral describes it as "bacterial SSU rRNA". It matches the Rfam family "Bacterial small subunit ribosomal RNA". The record is from RNAcentral. Lineage: Bacteria; Pseudomonadati; Pseudomonadota; Gammaproteobacteria; Enterobacterales; Enterobacteriaceae.
AGAGUUUGAUCAUGGCUCAGAUUGAACGCUGGCGGCAGGCCUAACACAUGCAAGUCGAACGGUAACAGAAAGCAGCUUGCUGCUUUGCUGACGAGUGGCGGACGGGUGAGUAAUGUCUGGGAAACUGCCUGAUGGAGGGGGAUAACUACUGGAAACGGUGGCUAAUACCGCAUAACGUCGCAAGACCAAAGAGGGGGACCUUCGGGCCUCUUGCCAUCAGAUGUGCCCAGAUGGGAUUAGCUAGUUGGUGAGGUAACGGCUCACCAAGGCGACGAUCCCUAGCUGGUCUGAGAGGAUGACCAGCCACACUGGAACUGAGACACGGUCCAGACUCCUACGGGAGGCAGCAGUGGGGAAUAUUGCACAAUGGGCGCAAGCCUGAUGCAGCCAUGCCGCGUGUAUGAAGAAGGCCUUCGGGUUGUAAAGUACUUUCAGCGGGGAGGAAGGUGUUGUGGUUAAUAACCGCAGCAAUUGACGUUACCCGCAGAAGAAGCACCGGCUAACUCCGUGCCAGCAGCCGCGGUAAUACGGAGGGUGCAAGCGUUAAUCGGAAUUACUGGGCGUAAAGCGCACGCAGGCGGUCUGUCAAGUCGGAUGUGAAAUCCCCGGGCUCAACCUGGGAACUGCAUUCGAAACUGGCAGGCUUGAGUCUUGUAGAGGGGGGUAGAAUUCCAGGUGUAGCGGUGAAAUGCGUAGAGAUCUGGAGGAAUACCGGUGGCGAAGGCGGCCCCCUGGACAAAGACUGACGCUCAGGUGCGAAAGCGUGGGGAGCAAACAGGAUUAGAUACCCUGGUAGUCCACGCCGUAAACGAUGUCUACUUGGAGGUUGUGCCCUUGAGGCGUGGCUUCCGGAGCUAACGCGUUAAGUAGACCGCCUGGGGAGUACGGCCGCAAGGUUAAAACUCAAAUGAAUUGACGGGGGCCCGCACAAGCGGUGGAGCAUGUGGUUUAAUUCGAUGCAACGCGAAGAACCUUACCUGGUCUUGACAUCCACGGAAGUUUUCAGAGAUGAGAAUGUGCCUUCGGGAACCGUGAGACAGGUGCUGCAUGGCUGUCGUCAGCUCGUGUUGUGAAAUGUUGGGUUAAGUCCCGCAACGAGCGCAACCCUUAUCCUUUGUUGCCAGCGGUCCGGCCGGGAACUCAAAGGAGACUGCCAGUGAUAAACUGGAGGAAGGUGGGGAUGACGUCAAGUCAUCAUGGCCCUUACGACCAGGGCUACACACGUGCUACAAUGGCGCAUACAAAGAGAAGCGACCUCGCGAGAGCAAGCGGACCUCAUAAAGUGCGUCGUAGUCCGGAUUGGAGUCUGCAACUCGACUCCAUGAAGUCGGAAUCGCUAGUAAUCGUGGAUCAGAAUGCCACGGUGAAUACGUUCCCGGGCCUUGUACACACCGCCCGUCACACCAUGGGAGUGGGUUGCAAAAGAAGUAGGUAGCUUAACCUUCGGGAGGGCGCUUACCACUUUGUGAUUCAUGACUGGGGUGAAGUCGUAACAAGGUAACCGUAGGGGAACCUGCGGUUGGAUUCACC